This is a non-coding RNA of Pelobates cultripes (western spadefoot toad), 283 nucleotides long. Lineage: Eukaryota; Metazoa; Chordata; Amphibia; Anura; Pelobatidae. The record is from the annotation of a GenBank genome assembly.
CUAAUUAAUUUUACUUUCUAAAUUUUGCAAGGUCUCAUUGUAAGUAAGGGGUGAAAUUGAGUUUAGAACUGUCAAUUUUAGAAUUUACGAUCAAAGUAGUUGCCACAUAGACUGAGACAAACGCUUUGAACUGACAGCAAAUUUAAGUUAUGGUAGUCAUUUUAGAUAAGCCAAAUGAGUUCAAAAUCGUCAUCAGGAAAAGUUAACUCUUUCCUGGAUAGGAAGGUUUAGUAAGGCGAGACUGCCCUGUAUGGACCAAAUACCUAAAUUGCGAUCCAUAGAU